Molecule: ribosomal RNA, 1171 nt
Filed under: Burkholderia ubonensis
Lineage: Bacteria; Pseudomonadati; Pseudomonadota; Betaproteobacteria; Burkholderiales; Burkholderiaceae
Description: bacterial LSU rRNA
Rfam family: Bacterial large subunit ribosomal RNA
Source: RNAcentral
GUUAUAGGGUCAAGCGAACAAGUGCAUGUGGUGGAUGCCUUGGCGAUCACAGGCGAUGAAGGACGCGGUAGCCUGCGAAAAGCUACGGGGAGCUGGCAAACAAGCUUUGAUCCGUAGAUGUCCGAAUGGGGAAACCCGGCCCUUUUGGGUCAUCCUAGACUGAAUACAUAGGUCUAGUGAAGCGAACGCGGUGAACUGAAACAUCUAAGUAACCGCAGGAAAAGAAAUCAACCGAGAUUCCCAAAGUAGUGGCGAGCGAAAUGGGAUGAGCCUUGUACUCUUUAUUUGUAUUGUUAGCCGAACGCUCUGGAAAGUGCGGCCAUAGCAGGUGAUAGCCCUGUAGGCGAAAACAGUAUGAAAGAACUAGGUGUACGACAAGUAGGGCGGGACACGUGAAAUCCUGUCUGAAGAUGGGGGGACCAUCCUCCAAGGCUAAAUACUCGUGAUCGACCGAUAGUGAACCAGUACCGUGAGGGAAAGGCGAAAAGAACCCCGGGAGGGGAGUGAAAUAGAUCCUGAAACCGCAUGCAUACAAACAGUCGGAGCCUCUUCGGGGGUGACGGCGUACCUUUUGUAUAAUGGGUCAGCGACUUACGUUCAGUAGCAAGCUUAACCGUAUAGGGCAGGCGUAGCGAAAGCGAGUCCGAAUAGGGCGUUCAGUUGCUGGGCGUAGACCCGAAACCAGGUGAUCUAUCCAUGGCCAGGAUGAAGGUGCGGUAACACGUACUGGAGGUCCGAACCCACUAACGUUGAAAAGUUAGGGGAUGAGCUGUGGAUAGGGGUGAAAGGCUAAACAAACCUGGAAAUAGCUGGUUCUCUCCGAAAACUAUUUAGGUAGUGCCUCGUGUCUCACCUUCGGGGGUAGAGCACUGUCAUGGUUGGGGGGUCUAUUGCAGAUUACCCCGCCAUAGCAAACUCCGAAUACCGAAGAGUGCAAUCACGGGAGACAGACAUCGGGUGCUAACGUCCGGUGUCAAGAGGGAAACAACCCAGACCGCCAGCUAAGGUCCCCAAAUAUGGCUAAGUGGGAAACGAAGUGGGAAGGCUAAAACAGUCAGGAGGUUGGCUUAGAAGCAGCCACCCUUUAAAGAAAGCGUAAUAGCUCACUGAUCGAGUCGUCCUGCGCGGAAGAUGUAACGGGGCUAAGCCAUAUACCGAAGCUGCGGAUGCG